GACGAACGCUGGCGGCGUGCUUAACACAUGCAAGUCGAACGGAAAGGCCCUGCUUUUGUGGGGUGCUCGAGUGGCGAGCGGGUGAGUAACACGUGAGUAACCUGCCCUUGACUUUGGGAUAACUUCAGGAAACUGGGGCUAAUACCGGAUAGGAGCUCCUGCUGCAUGGUGGGGGUUGGAAAGUUUCGGCGGUUGGGGAUGGACUCGCGGCUUAUCAGCUUGUUGGUGGGGUAGUGGCUUACCAAGGCUUUGACGGGUAGCCGGCCUGAGAGGGUGACCGGCCACAUUGGGACUGAGAUACGGCCCAGACUCCUACGGGAGGCAGCAGUGGGGAAUAUUGCACAAUGGGCGGAAGCCUGAUGCAGCAACGCCGCGUGCGGGAUGACGGCCUUCGGGUUGUAAACCGCUUUCGCCUGUGACGAAGCGUGAGUGACGGUAAUGGGUAAAGAAGCACCGGCUAACUACGUGCCAGCAGCCGCGGUGAUACGUAGGGUGCGAGCGUUGUCCGGAUUUAUUGGGCGUAAAGGGCUCGUAGGUGGUUGAUCGCGUCGGAAGUGUAAUCUUGGGGCUUAACCCUGAGCGUGCUUUCGAUACGGGUUGACUUGAGGAAGUUAGGGGAGAAUGGAAUUCCUGGUGGAGCGGUGGAAUGCGCAGAUAUCAGGAGGAACACCAGUGGCGAAGGCGGUUCUCUGGGCCUUUCCUGACGCUGAGGAGCGAAAGCGUGGGGAGCGAACAGGCUUAGAUACCCUGGUAGUCCACGCUGUAAACGGUGGGUACUAGGUGUGGGGUCCAUUCCACGGGUUCCGUGCCGUAGCUAACGCUUUAAGUACCCCGCCUGGGGAGUACGGCCGCAAGGCUAAAACUCAAAGGAAUUGACGGGGCCCCGCACAAGCGGCGGAGCAUGCGGAUUAAUUCGAUGCAACGCGUAGAACCUUACCUGGGUUUGACAUGGAUCGGGAGUGCUCAGAGAUGGGUGUGCCUCUUUUGGGGUCGGUUCACAGGUGGUGCAUGGCUGUCGUCAGCUCGUGUCGUGAGAUGCUGGGUUAAGUCCCGCAACGAGCGCAACCCUUGUUCACUGUUGCCAGCACGUUAUGGUGGGGACUCAGUGGAGACCGCCGGGGUCAACUCGGAGGAAGGUGGGGAUGACGUCAAGUCAUCAUGCCCCUUAUGUCCAGGGCUUCACGCAUGCUACAAUGGCUGGUACAGAGAGUGGCGAGCCUGUGAGGGUGAGCGAAUCUCGGAAAGCCGGUCUCAGUUCGGAUUGGGGUCUGCAACUCGACCUCAUGAAGUCGGAGUCGCUAGUAAUCGCAGAUCAGCAACGCUGCGGUGAAUACGUUCCCGGG
RNAcentral lists this ribosomal RNA (1343 nucleotides) under uncultured bacterium. Its description in RNAcentral is "16S ribosomal RNA". It matches the Rfam family "Bacterial small subunit ribosomal RNA", at positions 28 to 1378 of the family's 1533-position model. The record is from RNAcentral.